Long non-coding RNA from Zea mays, 156 nucleotides. RefSeq lists it as uncharacterized. The record is from RefSeq and is a predicted model, not a curated record. The transcript is spliced from 3 exons. Lineage: Eukaryota; Viridiplantae; Streptophyta; Magnoliopsida; Poales; Poaceae.
CCCCCCGUCUUCCCUCGAAGGCGGUACGCCACCCUACCCCCCACUUCGCCCUAUACGGCACAACCCCUUCCUAUGACCACCUUCGCGUGUUCGGCUGUGCCUGCUACCCUAACACUUCCGCUACCGCUCCACAUAAGCUUUCUCCUCGCUCCACCC